Molecule: ribosomal RNA, 421 nt
Filed under: uncultured bacterium
Lineage: Bacteria
Description: bacterial SSU rRNA
Rfam family: Bacterial small subunit ribosomal RNA
Source: RNAcentral
UGGGCUUGACAUCACCGCGAACCUGGCCGAAAGGCUGGGGUGCCCCUGAUGGGGAGCGCGGUGACAGGUGCUGCAUGGUUGUCGUCAGCUCGUGUCGUGAGAUGUUGGAUUAAGUCCCGCAACGAGCGCAACCCCCGCCCUGUGUUGCCAGCGGUACGGCCGGGCACUCACAGGGGACUGCCGGUGACAAACCGGAGGAAGGUGGGGAUGACGUCAAAUCAUCAUGGCCCUUAUGCCCAGGGCUACACACGUGCUACAAUGGCCGGUACAACGGGUUGCGAACCCGCGAGGGGGAGCCAAUCCCUAAAAGCCGGUCCCAGUUCGGAUCGCAGGCUGCAACUCGCCUGCGUGAAGCCGGAAUCGCUAGUAAUCGCGGAUCAGAAUGCCGCGGUGAAUACGUUCCCGGGCCUUGUACACACCG